ACGGGAGGCAGCAGUGAGGAAUAUUGGUCAAUGGGCGAAAGCCUGAACCAGCCAAGUCGCGUGAAGGAUGAAGGUAUUAUGUAUUGUAAACUUCUUUAGCAGCAGAGUAAUAAGGGGGUCGUGACCCCCGAUGCAAGUAUGCUGAAAAUAAGGAUCGGCUAACUCCGUGCCAGCAGCCGCGGUAAUACGGAGGAUCCGAGCGUUAUCCGGAUUUAUUGGGUUUAAAGGGUGCGCAGGCGGUUUUUUAAGUCAGUGGUUAAAUCGUGAGGCUCAACCUCAUCACGCCAUUGAUACUGGAAGACUUGAUUGCGGUUGAGGUAGGCGGAAUUCGUCGUGUAGCGGUGAAAUGCAUAGAUAUGACGAAGAACACCGAUUGCGUAGGCAGCUUACCAAGCCGUAAAUGACGCUCAUGCACGAAAGUGCGGGGAUCGAACAGGAUUAGAUACCCUGGUA
Molecule: ribosomal RNA, 453 nt
Filed under: uncultured Porphyromonadaceae bacterium
Lineage: Bacteria; Pseudomonadati; Bacteroidota; Bacteroidia; Bacteroidales; Porphyromonadaceae
Description: partial 16S ribosomal RNA
Rfam family: Bacterial small subunit ribosomal RNA
Source: RNAcentral